This is a long non-coding RNA of Prunus avium (sweet cherry), 506 nucleotides long. RefSeq lists it as uncharacterized. The record is from RefSeq and is a predicted model, not a curated record. NCBI's taxonomy places the organism in Eukaryota, Viridiplantae, Streptophyta, Magnoliopsida, Rosales, Rosaceae.
GCUUAUUGAGUGCUAUGAGGAGCGCAGAAGGGCUUUUGUGAGAGAGACUGAAGAUGGAGAUGGUCUCAUCCUGCAGGUUCAAGAUCCUUUCCGUCGAUUGUUGCUCCAUGGUGUUUGUGAGUUCUACAACUUGGUGUCGGUGACGGUUACUGAAUCAGAGAAUGGGGAGGCAAUUAAGGUGACAAAGAUAACAAAGAAAAAGGGGCGUUCAAUUGAACUUCCAAAUAUCACUCUAUCCCAUUUCUUGAAGAUGUCCAAGCAAGGAAUGUGGUGAUUCCAUUUCCAUUUGGUUAACUUAAAAUGUAUAAUAAAAGCUGGGCGUGCUGUGGUGUCAGUAACCUUGUGUGUUAGCAGCAUGAUGUAAAUUAUCAAGUCACUUUGCCCUGAUUAUUAGCACCUGUAAAUUAUCUAGGUUUGUUUUCUGUGAAAAGAUUUUCUAAAUGUACUAUAUCCGUCAGUCAACGAAUGAAGUUGAUUGUAAAUUUAGGACAUGUGAUUAUAAUUUA